Molecule: long non-coding RNA, 328 nt
Filed under: Lathyrus oleraceus (garden pea)
Lineage: Eukaryota; Viridiplantae; Streptophyta; Magnoliopsida; Fabales; Fabaceae
Description: Pisum sativum (pea) long non-coding RNA (PSAT_LNC022841)
Source: RNAcentral
AUUUCCAAAAAGUCCUAGAACUCUCAAUUCCCAUGUGUGGUUGGCAAGUUAUGAUCGAAUCGAUUUCAGAAAAUCUUGAACUUCAGAAGGCCAUAUCUCUCAAACCGUUUGGCCAAUUUUGGUGGGGUUUUUUCCUACAAGUCACAUUUGAUCCCCUCUUUCCAAAAAUAUAAAUUUCAUGAGCCAAAACUUCACCAAUCAAAAUGGCAUAUUUUGACCUUUUUCAUUUAAAUGUAAGUUUGACCAAGAGUUGACUUUUUGACUCAAACAUUUUUUCAGCAUUUGGCCAAUUGGGACAGCUCAUAAAUAUCAUUUUAAGUGUGUUUGC